GUGCACGGGGCACAGAUCUCCUGGCCUUGGCCUCUCCCAGUAAUAUUUUCUGCAAAGAAUGACACUUGAGUUCUUAAAAUAGAAGAGUGGCUGGGAAUAAAAGUGUUGAAGAAGCAGGGAGCCAGUCUGACACUCCAACCUCUCCUUCUGGCUCUUGCACAGCCUGUGCACACAAUGGGGAAACUGCUGGUUACUGAGACAUGCAGUACGACUAAAAAGCUUUUAGGCCAGUCUUGCAUUCCUGCUCACCUAAUUCGAACGAUGACCCAGUGCAACCAGUAACAGUGAACGAAGUGUGCUUUGUAAGCAGUCAACACUUCCUUUUCUGAGCCCAGUCGAGAUCCACUUGCCAUUUACCUGCUGAGAAACAUGGCAUUCCCCUUCCUGAUUUCUGCUGACUGUCUCUGUUUUGCAAAUUAAAUCUCAAAAGUACUCUUUGC
Molecule: long non-coding RNA, 440 nt
Organism: Vidua chalybeata
Lineage: Eukaryota; Metazoa; Chordata; Aves; Passeriformes; Viduidae
Exons: 3
Source: RefSeq, a predicted model, not a curated record